This 21-nucleotide microRNA is filed under the name Caenorhabditis briggsae. RNAcentral describes it as "cbr-miR-7593". The record is from miRBase by way of RNAcentral. Lineage: Eukaryota; Metazoa; Nematoda; Chromadorea; Rhabditida; Rhabditidae.
UGAGGUAUUGUAAAAGCUUAC